This 478-nucleotide ribosomal RNA is filed under the name uncultured bacterium. RNAcentral's name for it is "partial 16S ribosomal RNA". It matches the Rfam family "Bacterial small subunit ribosomal RNA", at positions 28 to 507 of the family's 1533-position model. The record is from RNAcentral.
GAUGAACGCUGGCGGCGUGCUUAACACAUGCAAGUCGAACGGGAAACCUUUUAUUGAAGCUUCGGCAGAUUUAGCUGGUUUCCAGUGGCGGACGGGUGAGUAACGCGUGGGUAACCUGCCUUAGACAGGGGGAUAACAGUCAGAAAUGGCUGCUAAUACCGCAUAAGCGCACAGAGCUGCAUGGCUCAGUGUGAAAAACUCCGGUGGUAUAAGAUGGACCCGCGUUGGAUUAGCUGGUUGGUGGGGUAACGGCCCACCAAGGCGACGAUCCAUAGCCGGCCUGAGAGGGUGAACGGCCACAUUGGGACUGAGACACGGCCCAGACUCCUACGGGAGGCAGCAGUGGGGAAUAUUGCACAAUGGGGGAAACCCUGAUGCAGCGACGCCGCGUGAAGGAAGAAGUAUCUCGGUAUGUAAACUUCUAUCAGCAGGGAAGAUAAUGACGGUACCUGACUAAGAAGCCCCGGCUAACUACGUG